GGGAAUAUAGCUUAGUAGUAGAUCAUAUGCCUAGCAUGCAUAAGGCUCUGGGUUCAAAACCCAAUACCA
RNAcentral lists this transfer RNA (69 nucleotides) under Ictidomys tridecemlineatus (thirteen-lined ground squirrel). RNAcentral's name for it is "Spermophilus tridecemlineatus (thirteen-lined ground squirrel) tRNA". It matches the Rfam family "tRNA". Rfam says of the family: Transfer RNA (tRNA) molecules are approximately 80 nucleotides in length. Their secondary structure includes four short double-helical elements and three loops (D, anti-codon, and T loops). The record is from Rfam by way of RNAcentral. Lineage: Eukaryota; Metazoa; Chordata; Mammalia; Rodentia; Sciuridae.